ACAGCACCACCAUUGAUAUUGAAUUGGCCCAGCAACAGCACCAGUCCGGCCCGCAGGAGCCCCAGUCCAGGAUGACCCAUCCACUCCCCUGACCCAUAGCUCAUCAUACUUGAUAUCCGGAAAAAUGGGGCCUAAUGCAUGUGCUUAAAUUGUUGUCACAGAUUAGCCGUGCAGUCCACACAGGCUAAUCAUGGAUAACACUCCUCUUAAAGCAGAGCACCAGCAUUGAUAUCGAGUUGGCCCAGAAACCACACCAGUCACGCCUGCAGGAGCCCCAGUCCAGAACGACCCUUCCCCUGCCUUGACUUUUAACUACUCCCCCUUGACCUCCUGCCUCAAAAAGUCAGCAUCGUUGAACAACUCCGUUCUGCAGGAAAUUCUGAGCAUGAAUCUGUUCUGAACAAACGCAAUGCCCACGUUACGUUUUCCAAACAUAAGCCUGGGUAGUUUUGUUAAGCUGGAGUUGCGCGUGGGCCUGAAAGGGACUAGUGUUACAGACACGAAAAGUUAUAGCAGUAGUUAUGGUAACGCUAACAGUCAGUUGUUGCUGUUGGACAUCACAACAAAUAUCAUGAAGAAUAAAAAGUUCAAUAACUCAUUCCAAUCUUUAUGAGACAAACAGAAAUUGAACGGGAGAAAAUCAAAGAACAAUAAAAGCGUAAGCUUUCCUAGUGGGAUACUUUUGCUGUUGAAAGUUUGGACAACAGUAGGGUUGCGGACUGCCCCAGAUUGUCCUCUCAGCGGCAAAAAUAUCAUAAUAGAACGGACUUUUGGCAAUGUUACUGACAAAGAAAGGCAAUAAUGACUUGGUUGUCAAUACCCAGAGCAAGAUACAUCCAUGCUGACAAAGAAAGGCAGUAAUGACUUGGUUGUGAACACCCAGAGCGCGAUACAUCCAUGCUGACACAGUAAGGCAGUAAUGACUUGGUUGUGAACACUCAGAGCACAAUACAUCCGUGCUGACACAGAAAGGCAGUAAUAACUUGGUUGUGAACACCCAGAGCACAAUACAUACAUGCUGACACAGAAAGGAAGUAAUGACUUGGUUGUGAACACCCAGAGCACGAUACAUCCAUGCUGACACAGAAAGGCAGUAUGACUUGGCUGUGAACACAGAACACAAUACACCCAUGCUGACACAGAAAGGCAGUAAUGACUUGGUUGUGAACACCCAAAGCAAGAUAUUUCCAUGCUGACACAGAAAGGCAGUAAUGACUAUGCUGUGAACACCUUGAGCAAGAUAUAUCCUUGCUAACACAGAAAGGCAGUAAUGACUAUGCUGUGAACACCCGGAGCAUAAUACAUCCAUGCUGACACAGAAAGGCAGUAAUGACUUGGUUGUGAACACCCAGGGCAAGAUAUAUCCAUGCUGACACAGAAAGGCAGUAAUGACUAUGCUGUGAACACCCAGAGCAAGAUAUAUACAUGCUGACACAGAAAGGCAGUAAUGAUUAUGCUGUCUAAACCCACAGAAAGAUAUAUCCAUGCUGACACAGAAAAGCAGUAAUGACUAUGCAGUGAACACCCAGAGCAAGAUAUAUCCAUGCUGACACAGAAAGGCAGUAAUGACUUGGUUUUGAACAACCAGAGCAAGAUAUAUCCAUGCUGACACAGAAAGGCAGUAAUGACUUGGCUGUGAACACAGAACCCGAUACACCCAUGCUGACACAGAAAAGGCAGUAAUGACUUGGCAGUAAACACAGAACACAAUACACCCAUGCUGACACAGAAAGGCAGUAAUGACUUUGCUGUGAACACAGAGCACAAUACAUCCAUGCUGACACAAAAAGGCAGUAAUGACUUGGCUGUGAGCACAGAACACCAUACAUCCAUGCUGAUACAAAAAGGCAGUAAUGACAUGGCUGUGAACACAGAGCACAAUACAUCCAUGCUGACACAGAAAGGCAGUUAUGACUUGGUUGUGAACACAGAGCACAAUACAUCGUUGUUGACACAGAAAGGCAGUAAUGACUUGGCUGUGAACACAGAGCACAAUACAUCCAUGCUGACACAGAAAGGCAGUUAUGACUUGGUUGUGAACACAGAGCACAAUACAUCCUUGUUGACACAGAAAGACAGUUAUGACUUUGCUGUGAACUCAGAGCACGAUACAUCCAUGCUGACACAGAAAGGCAGUAAUGACUAUGCUGCAAACACCCAGAGCACAAUACAUCCAUGCUGAAACAGAAAGGCAGUCAUGACUAUGCAGUGAACACCCAGAGCAAGAUAUAUCCAUGCUGACACAGAAAGGAAGUAAUGACUAUGCUGUGAACACCCAGAGCAAGAUAUAUCCAAUGUGACACAGAAAGGCAGUAAUGACUAUGCCAUGAACACCCAGAACACAAUACAUCCAUGCUGAAACAGAAAGUCAGUAAUGACUUGGUUGUGAACUCAGAGCACAAUACAUCCAUGCUGACACAGAAAGGCAGUAAUGACUUUGCUGUGAACUCAGAGCACGAUACAUCCAUGCUGACACAGAAAGGCAGUAAUGACUUGGAUGUAAACACCCAGAGCACAAUACAUCCAUGAUUACACAGAAAGGCAGUAAAGACUUGGUUGUAAACACCCAGAGCACAAUACAUCCAUGCUGACACAGAAAGGCAGUAAAGACUUUGUUGUAAACACUAAGAUAUCCAUACAUCCAUGGGGUGUGCCACAGACGCAAAUUACGCCCACCAUUUUGAACAAGGUGCUUAAAGUGAACACGUCUGGUUUUGUUAUGAGCACUUAGCACUCCGAGCCUAAAAGGCCUCACAUUGAAUUGAUGCAAGAGAAGGCUUUGAAAAAUAACAGCAGUUUUGUUGUGUGGUCCAGUACGCCCUUCGACUCGCAACCUGAAGAAAGCAGAACUCAAACUCGUCUCUUAGCAAUAUCAGCAAGGCCAUCAUGUCAAUCUCAGCCUCUAGAGCUUCAGUGAACUUAACUAGCAAACAUGACAAACGUCAUUGAAGUGAAAGUCGAUGACAACCCCCUUCUUGCACAAAUACUACAACUCGCUUAAGAAAUUCAGCAUGAAGACGUCUUGCGUCAGACUACCAAGCCUCCUAUCAAUAUCUCCUCCCAUGUUGGCUACAUCAACACUUCCAACAGCAGAGCCUUGGUGAGUUUGACUUCCGUCUUAGCAUCGAUGUCGCUUAGCAACAAUUGGAUGAUGGGCGUCGACAAAUUAUGCCGGAAAAGUCGCUCGAACUGAAACUAUCUGAUCCAACAGGUAGAGCAGGCGUUGCGUGACAUGUCCAUUAAUGUGACUACUCUAUAUGUUGUUCUCGAAUAAUGUGAACCUUAGGCCUGGAGAGCAGUAUGCGAUUGACGCCAUUCAACAACAGUUGUCGGCAAUUCUCGGGUUUGGGGGUGGCGACUUCGGCGUCGGAACUCGCUCCAUCUCUGUCUAAGGCCCAGUCGCAGCAGCAGCAGCAGCAACAAGAACAAUAAGUAGUAUCUUAGUGGUGUUCUGGGAUAUGGGGCUUCAUGUAUGUGCUUAAAUUGUCAUCCAAGAUUAGCCUGUGCAGACUGCACCUACAUUAAGUCAUAUUAAAUUGUCAUCCCAGAUUAGCCUGUGCAGACUGCACAUACAUUAAGUCCUAUUAAAGUGUCAUCCCAGAUUAGCCUGUGCAGACUGCACAUACAUUAAGUCAUAUUAAAGUGUCAUCCCAGAUUAGCCUGUGCAGAUUGCACAUACAUUAAGUCCUAUUAAAGUGUCAUCUCAGAUAAGCCUGUGCAGACUGCACAUGCAUUAAGACCUAUUAAAGUGUCAUCCCAGAUUAGCCUGUGCUGAUUGCACAUUCUUAAAAUCCUAUUAAAGUGUCAUCCAAGAUUAGCCUGUGCAGACUGCACAUACACUAAGUCCUAUUAAAGUGUCAUCCCAGAUUAGCCUGUGCAGACUGCACAUACAUUUAGUACUAUUAAAGUGUCAUCUCAGAUUAGCCUGUGCAGACUGCACAUACAUUUAGUCCUAUUAAAGUGUCAUCCCAGAUUAGCUUGUGCAGACUGCACAUACAUUAAGUCCUAUUAAAGUGUCAUUUCAGAUUAGCCUGUGCAGACUGCACAUACAUUAAGUCCUAUUUAAGUGUCAUCCCAGAUUAGCCUGUGCAGACUGCUCAUACAUUAAGCCCUAUUUUCCCAGAAUGAGACUCGUAUACUUCACUUAACAUCAGUAUUUUAUGUGCCUGAAAAGUUCCUAGCAUCAAAUGGGAAUUAUGUGCUUUUAAAUUGAUCACACAUAGUAAAUAAAUUGCAAAUAGCACUUGAUCUGAUAUCAAUUUUAAUUGUUUCUGCCUGAUUGAGAAAAAGGUCAAAGCAUCAAAUGGUAAGUAUGUGUUUUUAAAAUUAAUCAACUUGGUAAAUAAAUAGCAAUUGAUCUAAUAUCAGGUUUAAUCAUAGAAGGUAAAGGCAUAGUUUUGUGUAUUUUUCGGCCGAAAUUCAGCUCUUGAACAAAGCGUUUAUCUUUUACAAAAUCAGCUGUAAUAGACUUGUUAAAUUUGAUUUAAUUUUAGCAAAACAAUUAUUUAAAUGACUUCAGCACAUUAUACAAUUAUUACCUUUAAUAUUUUUUUAAUUUCCUGAAUUUUGUUUUAAGAGCCGGUUCCUACAGGAUCCCAUGCAAUAGAUUGGUACCCAGCUGAACAACAGGCUUUCGGGUAAGCUGGGCCCGGAUAGGUGCAGCCAGUCUAAAGCUGGGGCUUCAAACUUUCCUGCCAAGUGGGCUGAUAUUACCUCUUCUACAAGGGACAUAUGUCAGUGAUGUGCAAAGAGCUGGUUUUCUGUUCACAGAGAAAUAUCCUAACAACUCCAACUCAGCCACUACAUCUCAACAGACACCCCGAAUAUCAAGGCGUUAAGUUUCUUCUGGAUGCAGUUACAGUCACAGCUUUCAAGCCAGCAGCUGUCGAUGUAUUGAGAUUUUCUCCUCUCCAUGUUACCUGACCUGCUGCCUGUGAACAUCCUGCACAUAGAACCUUUAUCCCAAUCGAUGUAAUUAAACCGGCCAAUCAAAAAGAUAGCCUGGUACAGGACUUGUCAUUAGAUUGAUGCCAUGCAUGCCUUUGAAGAUCAUUUAUACAUACAAUUUAAGCAUGAUAGUCAAUAAGUGCCUGCGUUGGCUUCUUAAAAGACUCAUAGUCCUAAGCAUUUACGAUGGAAUUCCUCAUCUUGAAAUAUUGGGAAAGCAGGAAAACACCUGUCACUGUUAAGAAAAAAAUGAGGGAAUGACAAAGAACAAUAAGACCAGCCAAGUCCUGUGAUCAGACAAGUCCUGUGAUCAGACACGUCAUGUGAUAAGCCAAGUCUUAAGAUCAGCUUAGUUCUGUGGCCAGACACGUCUUGUGGCCAGCCAAGUGUUUUACCAGCCAUGUCCUGUGACCAGCGAAGUCAAGUGAUCAGCCAAGUCUUAGGAUCAGCUAAAUUGUGUGGCCAGCCAAGUCAUGUGACCAGCCAAGUGUUUUUACCAGCCAUGUCCUAUGACCAGCAGCUUUGUCUCGAGUGUACAGUCUGAUUGUAUGGGAAGAAAAAUCUACAUUUCUUAUUGUAUGGGCAUAAUGAUACUGACAGUAUCUUGAUGAUUAAGUAUUUUGUUAUAUAUUGGUAAAUAGACAAUAUGAUAAGGGGAAACUCAGUAAUAGCAGUAAUUUAAAGUUUUAUUUCAAGAGCAAAAUAAUGCAAGUACUACAAUUGUGUCUGUAUUCAGAAACUGACUCUAUAUAGCUUUAUCCUGAUUAUCGUAAACAGACAGACACAAAUGAUUUUACAAUUGUUGUUUUUUAAACAUUGAUUUUAAGCCUUCACAAAGUUGUUUAAAUAAUGCUGAUACCUUGGACAAUAUUUAGCUUAUUUAUUGUAUAAACAAGACAUGCUUAUUUUUAGUUUUUACCUAUAAAAUAGCAAUAGCAAUAGGUAAAAUACUUGAUCAGAACGGUUCAUAAUUGAGAUAUGCUUCUAUUUUGAUAUGGUUUUCAUUCUGUCUGUGUACAUUUCUCAUCAGUUUGCUCUUUAAUGAGGCAGUUUUUUGUCAAGAAUUUCAUGUAGUGAUGUUAUAGUAAAAUAUCAAAUAAUAAUUUGAUUUAUUCAAACUAUAUUAACCUUCUGUUAAUUAUCAAUUUAUUUAUUGACAACAGAUACUUUGUUUAAUAUUAACAAUAGUUAAGCGCGUUAUAAAAAUUGAGUGAAUGUACAUGCAUAAUAUUGCGAUAAUUGAUGCACACAUUAAUGGAAAACUAUUUAAUAAAGUGGAAUUUAGAAGUACAUCUUAAUUGUAAUGGAGUUUGUUUAAUUAUUAAAAAAAGGAUGCUUUCAUUGUUGAAAAUAUGAUAGUAAUUCCUCCACAAGUAAUUUUAUUUCAAAGUGAGUAUUUUCAUGAAGAAUGAUCCUAGAUAUGGUUGUAGAUUGUUCUUGUUGUAUCAUAUACUGACAUGCUCAUCAUUUGUGUUGACAUUUGCAUUCUAGCAUUAAAAGUUCAUUAUGCUUUAAAUAUUUGUAUGUACACAUUUGUGACCAGCUUUUCUAAUGUAAUAAGUGAAUAACGUAACACAGAUUUAUGUGUCUCUGUAUAUAAGUUUAUUUUGUCAUUUGUAAAUAGAUCAACUGCAAAGCUAAUGUUUUUGUUUGUACAUUAUUUAUAAAAUGUUGCCAUUUCAAACAGAUACAUUCACUGUUUGAAUUCACUUGUACAAAUUUGUUUCAUAUUAAACAUCAUUUACAUAUCAGGCAAUAGAGAAAAAGAAUUGCUUUGGAUAAAAGAGCACAUUAACCUGUAAAGUAAAUUAAGACAUCAGAUUAUUAACAUAAUAAUAUACUUUAAGCAUUAGAAACAGCGUGUUUUAUGUCAAGCUUUUCAGUUAACAUAAUUAAGCAACAACUAUCUGGAAAUUUGGAAAACAGUGAAGAACGAUUCAAGGGAGAGCAACUGUGAUAUACUAAAUAAAAGUCGUCUCCCUUGUUAGAGUAUAAUUGUACCUCUCAACGUAACAAGAACAUUGAAUCUUUUUUUAUAUUAUUCCACACUAUAAACUAUAUACUAUAUUCAUUCAAUAAUCACUAAAGAAAUAUGGUUUGCAUAAUUGUUUAUUUCUAUGCGUUAUACCAAAUUCACCAGUAUGGCAUCAAUUUAAGUUCAUCAUAUUUUUUUUGCCAAAAUUGGCCAUACAGUGCUAAAAAUUUGGUAUUCUGACUAUUAUUAGUGCAUGUUCUCAUACAAUAUCACAUUGUAUAUUAUAACACCGAAGCAAUUCUGACUAUUAUUAGUGCAUGUUCUCAUACAAUAUCACAUUGUAUAUUUUAACACUGAAGCAAUAUGUGUUAAUAUAUUAAUUUUUAUUUAUUGACUUGUUGUUGCUUGUUAAGGUGUCUAAUUUUGAAUUAUAGCUGUAAAUUGAUUGUGACUAUUUUCCAGUUUUGAAUGAUUGCUUUUAGUUGAUUGUUUACAAGUGUGUUAAAGCUGUUUUCAUGUUGACCGCUCCACAUUAAAUGUCGUCGACGCGCAUUAACUGCGGCAAGGUUCCGUAAAACUCCCAACAAAUCUGAUGUCUUAUGAUUGGAUUCCAUACACACGUGGUUGUUUAUACUCAGCUAGCUUUGCAUUAAACAUGUCUGCUUUGUUGUUGAACAAUUAUACACAGCUUUUUAUUGGACAAAAUUGUGUAGUAUUUCAAAUUUUUGCUUUCGAUUUUUUAUUUCCAACAAAAAUAUAUUUUGUUUAUUUGUAUGUAUAUUUAGCUAUAAUAAAUUUGUUUCUAUUAUAUAUAAACAACCUAUUUAUAAGCAAUAAACUAUAUUGGUAAAAGUAGAUUUAAGGUUCAAAAUCAUGUCUUAAUUUGUUUGAUUAUCCCAAAUUAACAUUUUGCAAAAGCAAAACUUGUUGAAUAAAGAAAAGUUUAUGCAACCUACCACCAGGUCUUUUAACCAUUGAUUGUUUAUCACUAAUGAUCAGGACUUUAUCAGGGAUAAAUAAUUUCCUAUGCACGGUUAUAAUGUUUGUGUUUUUGAAUUGAAUAAUUUCUGUAGUUUGGGGAACAUUAAUUGCUUGUUUUUUUAAAGACAUAGCACAUGUCAUAUAAUAUAGUAUCAUUGUAGUUUUGGUAUGUUUAGGGAUAUAAUCAUGUUAAUGUAUGUGAUUUGCUGAUCCAUUUCUUGUUGUUUCACUCCAUUUAAUGUAUAUAGCCAUGCAUAGAGCAGGAAUAUUGUUGUACUGUGAAAAAAAUGUUGUUAUAGCAAAUAAAAAAUGUAUGUUAA
Molecule: long non-coding RNA, 8223 nt
Organism: Dreissena polymorpha
Lineage: Eukaryota; Metazoa; Mollusca; Bivalvia; Myida; Dreissenidae
Exons: 6
Source: RefSeq, a predicted model, not a curated record